RNAcentral lists this ribosomal RNA (507 nucleotides) under uncultured bacterium. RNAcentral's name for it is "bacterial SSU rRNA". It matches the Rfam family "Bacterial small subunit ribosomal RNA", at positions 28 to 520 of the family's 1533-position model. The record is from RNAcentral.
GAUGAACGCUAGCUACAGGUUUAACACAUGCAAGUCGAGGGGAAACGAUAUUGGAAGCUUGCUUCCGAUAGGCGUCGACCGGCGCACGGGUGAGUAACGCGUAUCCAACCUGCCCAUCACUUGGGGAUAACCUUGCGAAAGUAAGACUAAUACCCAAUGACGUCUCUAGAAGACAUCUGAAGGAGAUUAAAGAUUUAUCGGUGAUGGAUGGGGAUGCGUCUGAUUAGCUUGUUGGCGGGGUAACGGCCCACCAAGGCGACGAUCAGUAGGGGUUCUGAGAGGAAGGUCCCCCACAUUGGAACUGAGACACGGUCCAAAACUCCUACGGGAGGCAGCAGUGAGGAAUAUUGGUCAAUGGGGCGAGAGCCUGAACCAGCCAAGUAGCGUGCAGGAUGACGGCCCUAUGGGUUGUAAACUGCUUUUAUAAGGGAAUAAAGUGGGAGUCGUGACUCUUUUUGCAUGUACCUUAUGAAUAAGGACCGGCUAAUUCCGUGCCAGCAGCCGCGG